AGCGAACGUUAGCGGCGGGCCUAACACAUGCAAGUCGAGCGAGAAAAGGGCUUCGGCUCUUAGUAAAGCGGCGGACGGGUGAGUAACACGUAGGUAAUCUUCCCUUGAGCGGGGGACAACGAGCCGAAAGGCUCGCUAAUACCGCAUAAGUUUCCUGGGACUCUGGUCCUGGGAAGGAAAGCUAGGCCGCAAGGUCCGGCACUCGAGGAGGAGCCUGCGUCGCAUCAGCUAGUUGGUGGGGUAAGGCCUACCAAGGCGAAGACGCGUAGCUGGUCUGAGAGGAUGAUCAGCCACACUGGGACUGAGACACGGCCCAGACUCCUACGGGAGGCAGCAGUGGGGAAUAUUGGACAAUGGGCGCAAGCCUGAUCCAGCCACGCCGCGUGAGUGAU
RNAcentral lists this ribosomal RNA (392 nucleotides) under uncultured bacterium. RNAcentral's name for it is "bacterial SSU rRNA". It matches the Rfam family "Bacterial small subunit ribosomal RNA", at positions 29 to 409 of the family's 1533-position model. The record is from RNAcentral.